RNAcentral lists this ribosomal RNA (359 nucleotides) under Pseudomonas sp. 2995-3. RNAcentral's name for it is "bacterial LSU rRNA". It matches the Rfam family "Bacterial large subunit ribosomal RNA", at positions 150 to 501 of the family's 2925-position model. The record is from RNAcentral. Lineage: Bacteria; Pseudomonadati; Pseudomonadota; Gammaproteobacteria; Pseudomonadales; Pseudomonadaceae.
AUCCAUACCUGAAUCCAUAGGGUAUGAGAAGGCAGACCUGGGGAACUGAAACAUCUUAGUACCCAGAGGAAGAGAAAGAAAAUUCGAUUUCCUGAGUAGCGGCGAGCGAAACGGAAAGAGCCCAAACCAAGAGGCUUGCCUCUUGGGGUUGUAGGACACUCCAUACGGAGUUACAAAGAAACGGCGUAGAUGCAGCGAUCUGGAAAGAUCCGCGAGACAAGGUAACAGCCCUGUAGUCGAAAUGUCGUUUCCUCCGGAGUGUAUCCUGAGUAUGGCGGGACACGUGAAACCCCGUCGGAAUCUGGGAGGACCAUCUCCCAAGGCUAAAUACUCCCUAGUGACCGAUAGUGAACCAGUAC